UACGUAGGGUGCGAGCGUUGUCCGGAUUUAUUGGGCGUAAAGGGCUCGUAGGCGGCGUGUCGCGUCGGGUGUGAAAGACCGGGGCUUAACCCCGGAACUGCUUCCGGUACGGGCAUGCUGGAGUGUGGCAGGGGAGACUGGAAUUCCUGGUGUAGCGGUGGAAUGCGCAGAUAUCAGGAGGAACACCGGUGGCGAAGGCGGGUCUCUGGGCCAUUACUGACGCUGAGGAGCGAAAGCGUGGGGAGCGAACAGG
RNAcentral lists this ribosomal RNA (253 nucleotides) under uncultured bacterium. RNAcentral's name for it is "partial 16S ribosomal RNA". It matches the Rfam family "Bacterial small subunit ribosomal RNA", at positions 524 to 776 of the family's 1533-position model. The record is from RNAcentral.